RNAcentral lists this long non-coding RNA (207 nucleotides) under Phoenix dactylifera (date palm). RNAcentral describes it as "long non-coding RNA (PDAC_LNC020806)". The record is from RNAcentral. Lineage: Eukaryota; Viridiplantae; Streptophyta; Magnoliopsida; Arecales; Arecaceae.
GUAAUUUCAGAGAACCAUUUUCUGUCUGUCUUUCUGUCUUGCCUUUGGGUCGACCCUCUCAGAGUUUGGGUCGACUCAAGCUUGGGUCGACUCAACCACUGUUUGGGUCGACCCUCUCAGUAAAUCCAGAGAACAUAUUUCCUUCAUGGUUUGAGGUUCUUGAAGUUUGGGUCGACUCAUGCUUACCUUGGGUCGACCCAACCAACU